AUUGAACGCUGGCGGCAGGCCUAACACAUGCACGUCGAGCGAGCGGCGGACGGGUGAGUAAUGUAUGGGGACUGCCCGAUAGAGGGGGAUAACUACUGGAACCGGUAGCUAAUACCGCAUACUAUCGGAUAACCCAUAUGGGAUUAGCUCGUAGGUGAGGUAAUGGCUCACCUAGGCGACGAUCCCUAGCUGGGCUGAGAGGAUGAUCCGCCACACUGGGACGGAGACACGGCCCAGAGUCCUACGGAGGCAGCAGUGGGGAAUAUUGCACAAUGGGCGCAAGCUUGAUGCAGCCAUGCCGCGUGUAUGAAGAAGGCCCUAGGGUUGUAAAGUACUUUCAGUCGGGAGGCGUUACCGACAGAAGAAGCACCGGCUAACUCCGUGCCAGCAGCCGCGGUAAUUC
This 403-nucleotide ribosomal RNA is filed under the name uncultured bacterium. RNAcentral's name for it is "partial 16S ribosomal RNA". It matches the Rfam family "Bacterial small subunit ribosomal RNA", at positions 30 to 526 of the family's 1533-position model. The record is from RNAcentral.